Non-coding RNA from Felis catus (domestic cat), 85 nucleotides. Lineage: Eukaryota; Metazoa; Chordata; Mammalia; Carnivora; Felidae. The record is from Rfam.
GCCUGGGUGGCUCAGUCGGUUGGGCGUCUGACUUCGGCUCAGGUCAUGAUCUCGCGGUCCGUGAGUUCGAGCCCCGCGUCGGGCU